UCUCUAGCCUGGGUUGCUCUCCAUCUUGAGU
This 31-nucleotide non-coding RNA is filed under the name Rattus norvegicus (Norway rat). The record is from RNAcentral. Lineage: Eukaryota; Metazoa; Chordata; Mammalia; Rodentia; Muridae.